Molecule: unclassified non-coding RNA, 347 nt
Filed under: Hevea brasiliensis (rubber tree)
Lineage: Eukaryota; Viridiplantae; Streptophyta; Magnoliopsida; Malpighiales; Euphorbiaceae
Source: RNAcentral
GACCUUCGACUCAUCCUCCUCAGUGCCAUAAUAUUUGACUAUAUUUGGAUGACUAAAUUGACACAAUAAGUUAACCUCUUGAUUAAUUUUGUCAAUUUCUCCUUUAUUUUUAAUUUGUAUUUCCUUUACGGCGAAAAAGAAACCGCCAUCAGCAUAUCCCUUGUACACUUUUCCGAAAAUUCCUCCUCCUAGAGGCUUCUUACGAUCCUUUCGCCACUUUGACUUUGUAAUAUUGAGUCUUUGUCUAUUAAUCUUCAAGAACUGGGACAUUAGAGGAUCACUUUCAUUGUUGUCAUGAUUCACAUGUGUUCUCUCACCAGAAUUAAAUCCAAGAUUUAAGUCUCCUU